RNAcentral lists this ribosomal RNA (500 nucleotides) under uncultured bacterium. Its description in RNAcentral is "partial 16S ribosomal RNA". It matches the Rfam family "Bacterial small subunit ribosomal RNA", at positions 28 to 507 of the family's 1533-position model. The record is from RNAcentral.
GACGAACGCUGGCGGCGUGCCUAAUACAUGCAAGUCGUGCGGACCUUGUUGAAAGCUUGCUUUUAAAAGGUUAGCGGCGGACGGGUGAGUAACACGUGGGCAACCUGCCUGUAAGACUGGGAUAACGCCGGGAAACCGGGGCUAAUACCAGAUCGUUUUUUCCUCCGCAUGGAGGAAAAAGGAAAGGCGGCUUCGGCUGCCACUUACAGAUGGGCCCGCGGCGCAUUAGCUAGUUGGCGGGGUAAUGGCCCACCAAGGCAACGAUGCGUAGCCGACCUGAGAGGGUGAUCGGCCACAUUGGGACUGAGACACGGCCCAAACUCCUACGGGAGGCAGCAGUAGGGAAUCUUCCGCAAUGGACGAAAGUCUGACGGAGCAACGCCGCGUGAGUGAAGAAGGCCUUCGGGUCGUAAAACUCUGUUGCCGGGGAAGAACAAGUGCCGUUCGAACAGGGCGGCGCCUUGACGGUACCCGGACAGAAAGCCACGGCUAACUACGUG